GCGCUCACGCUCCACCUCCCCGACGGUGCGGGCGAGACGGGCCGGUGGUGCGCCCGACCCCGAGGGGCCGGGAUCCCACCUCAGCCGGCGCGCGCUGGCCGUCACUUUCAUUGCGCCACGGGGUUUUAUCAACAGAUCGGA
Long non-coding RNA from Sander lucioperca (pikeperch), 141 nucleotides. RefSeq lists it as uncharacterized. The record is from RefSeq and is a predicted model, not a curated record. The transcript is spliced from 4 exons. NCBI's taxonomy places the organism in Eukaryota, Metazoa, Chordata, Actinopteri, Perciformes, Percidae.